Molecule: microRNA, 24 nt
Filed under: Caenorhabditis briggsae
Lineage: Eukaryota; Metazoa; Nematoda; Chromadorea; Rhabditida; Rhabditidae
Also listed under: 2 other names
Description: cbr-miR-50
Gene: cbr-miR-50
Source: miRBase by way of RNAcentral
UGAUAUGUCUGAUAUUCUUGGGUU